UACGGAGGGGGCAAGCGUUGUUCGGAGUUACUGGGCGUAAAGCGCGCGUAGGCGGUGCGGUAAGUCAGGGGUUAAAGGCUGCAGCUCAACUGCAGUAAGGCCUUUGAUACUAUCGCGCUAGAGUACCAGAGAGGAUGGCGGAAUUCCCGGUGUAGCGGUGAAAUGCGUAGAUAUAGGGAGGAACACCGGUUGCGAAGGCGGCUACCUGGCCGGUAACUGACGCUGAGGUGCGAGAGCGUGGGGAGCAAACAGG
RNAcentral lists this ribosomal RNA (253 nucleotides) under uncultured microorganism. RNAcentral's name for it is "partial 16S ribosomal RNA". It matches the Rfam family "Bacterial small subunit ribosomal RNA", at positions 524 to 776 of the family's 1533-position model. The record is from RNAcentral.